Molecule: ribosomal RNA, 796 nt
Filed under: Coccinula quatuordecimpustulata
Lineage: Eukaryota; Metazoa; Arthropoda; Insecta; Coleoptera; Coccinellidae
Description: SSU rRNA
Rfam family: Eukaryotic small subunit ribosomal RNA
Source: RNAcentral
UUACUUGGAUAACUGUGGUAAUUCUAGAGCUAAUACAUGCAAAUAGAGCUCCGACCGGGAACGGAAGGAGCGCUUUUAUUAGAUCAAAACCAAUAGGUGGCGGGCUCGCUCGUCAUCGUACAAUUUGGUGAUUCUGAAUAACUUUAGGCUGAUCGCACGGUCUCGUACCGGCGACGCAUCUUUCAAAUGUCUGCCUUAUCAACUGUCGAUGGUAGGUUCUGCGCCUACCAUGGUUGUUACGGGUAACGGGGAAUCAGGGUUCGAUUCCGGAGAGGGAGCCUGAGAAACGGCUACCACAUCCAAGGAAGGCAGCAGGCGCGCAAAUUACCCACUCCCAGCUCGGGGAGGUAGUGACGAAAAAUAACGAUACGGGACUCAUCCGAGGCCCCGUAAUCGGAAUGAGAACACUCUAAACCCUUUAACGAGGAUCAAUUGGAGGGCAAGUCUGGUGCCAGCAGCCGCGGUAAUUCCAGCUCCAAUAGCGUAUAUUAAAGUUGUUGCGGUUAAAAAGCUCGUAGUCGAAUUUGUGUCUCGCGCCGUCCGGUUCAUCGUUCGCGGUGUCAACUGGCGUGUCGCGAGACGUCCUGCCGGCGGGUCGUUCGCAAGAGCGGCCCAACUGACCCCGCCGCGGUGCUCUUCAUUGAGUGUCGAGGUGGGCCGGCACGUUUACUUUGAACAAACUAAGGUGCUUAAAGCAGGCUGAAAUUUUGCCAGAAUAUUUUAUGCAUGGAAUAAUGAAACAGGACCUCGAUUCUAUUUUGUUGGUUUUCGGAACCUCGAGGUAAUGAUUAACAGG